AUUGUAGAUCAGGCUUAACUUUCAAAUAUAUAUCUAUUUCACUUUAAGUGCACACUAAUUCAGGGAGUUCAAGAACAGAAAACAAACGGCUUGAGUGCAAAAAUUUUUGAGAAUUUCGAGCAACUCGAACAAACCUUUUAUCUCAUCUCGAGUGCAAAAAUUUUUGAGGAUUUCAAGCAACGCGAACAAACCUCAUAAUUGCCAUAAUUGGAGUUUUAUUGCUUGCGUGCAUGUACUGCAUCAAAGUCAAUUUGCAAAAGUUCGAGCAAUAAUUAGUCAUUAAUCACAAUGGAUAAUGUACGAAGUCUACAAUCUUUUCUAACGUAUUGGUACUUCCGAUACACGCUCGUUACCGAGUUGUAUAUGGUAGAAGCAUGGGAAAGGACUUUUAUCAAUAUUUUUCUUCUAGUACUGUUUUCUUUUUUCUUCGUCUUCAAUUACAAAGGACUGCUGCCAAUUACUCAAUACAUUUCAGAUAAUCUAUGAUUAUUUUUCUUGCAACUUCUAGAAAUUAUACUAUUUUGAUAUUUCAUUCAUAAUCAAGAUGGUAACCAUGCAAAAUAUAAAUUGUAAAGAAUAAUUAAUUUUGUAGUAUAUUUAACAUCUAAAUGCAAGAGAUACAACAGAAAGUUGUUAAAAAUGAAUAAAUAAAUAGAAGCUAAAAGUAA
This is a long non-coding RNA of Solenopsis invicta (red fire ant), 668 nucleotides long. RefSeq lists it as uncharacterized. The transcript is spliced from 2 exons. The record is from RefSeq and is a predicted model, not a curated record. Lineage: Eukaryota; Metazoa; Arthropoda; Insecta; Hymenoptera; Formicidae.